UGCAUUGGAUUGAGAACAAUGUACAACUCUUAUCGAUAAGCCAUUGGAGGGCAAGUCUGGUGCCAGCAGCCGCGGUAAUUCCAGCUCCAAUAGCGUAUAUUAACGUUGUUGCAGUUAAAAAGCUCGUAGUUGAAGUGUGGGUGAUCGCUGUUGUGAGACUUCGGUCUCUCGAUAGUAAGUCACCCCCUUCCAGUAUCCAGUAGUGGGUAUUCAGUUACUUACUAUUGUGUGUUGGUCCUUUACUGUGAGAAAAUUAGAGUGUUCAAAGCAGGCGUUUGCUUGAAUAGAUUAGCAUGGAAUAAUAAUUGAAGGCUUUCGUGUUCGAUUUGAUUGGUUUGUUCAUGGAAGCAAGGUUAAAAGGAACAGUUGGGGGUAUUCAUAUUCACUAGUUAGAGGUGAAAUUCUCGGAUUUAUGGAAGAUGAACAAGUGCGAAAAG
RNAcentral lists this ribosomal RNA (437 nucleotides) under Blastocystis hominis. Its description in RNAcentral is "SSU rRNA". It matches the Rfam family "Eukaryotic small subunit ribosomal RNA", at positions 505 to 951 of the family's 1831-position model. RNAcentral also lists the same sequence under 1 other name. Lineage: Eukaryota; Bigyra; Opalinata; Blastocystidae. The record is from RNAcentral.